GGCCCUAAAAAGCCCCCUAAACAUAAAGGUUUGGUCCUGGCCUUGUGAUCAAUUUUUACUUAAUAUACACAUGCAAGUUUCCGCAUCCCUGUGAGAACGCCCUUAAACCCCCUCUAGGGGAAAGGAGCUGGUAUCAGGCACGAUAUUCUGCCCAAGACACCUAGUUUCGCCACACCCACAAGGGAAAUCAGCAGUGAUUAACAUUGGACAUUAAGCGUCAGCUUGAUUCAGUUAAAGUAAACAGAGCCGGCUAAUCUGGUGCCAGCCGCCGCGGUUACACCAUGUGGCUCAAAUUGAUUAUCAUCGGCGUAAAGCGUGAUUAAAGUUUAAUCCCAAUUAGAGUUAAACUAAAACUAAGCCGUGACACGCUUGUUACUAAGAAAUCCAGAAACGAAAGUUACUCCAAUUUAACCAACUUGAACUCACGACAGCUAGGAUACAAACUGGGAUUAGAUACCCCACUAUGCCUAGUCGUAAAACUUUAAUUUACAUCUCUAUCGCCAGGGAACUACGAGCCAAGCU
This 522-nucleotide ribosomal RNA is filed under the name Thoropa cf. lutzi CFBH-T10562. RNAcentral describes it as "partial 12S ribosomal RNA". It matches the Rfam family "Bacterial small subunit ribosomal RNA", at positions 138 to 894 of the family's 1533-position model. The record is from RNAcentral. Lineage: Eukaryota; Metazoa; Chordata; Amphibia; Anura; Cycloramphidae.